UGCAGUCGACGGGGAUCCAUCAAGCUUGCUUGGUGGUGAGAGUGGCGACGGGUGAGUAAUGCGUGACCGACCUGCCCCAUACACCGGAAUAGCUCCUGGAAACGGGUGGUAAUGCCGGAUGCUCCGACUCCUCGCAUGGGGUGUCGGGAAAGAUUAUAUCGGUAUGGGAUGGGGUCGCGUCCUAUCAGGUAGUCGGCGGGGUAACGGCCCACCGAGCCUACGACGGGUAGCCGGCCUGAGAGGGCGACCGGCCACAUUGGGACUGAGAUACGGCCCAGACUCCUACGGGAGGCAGCAGUAGGA
This 303-nucleotide ribosomal RNA is filed under the name Bifidobacterium pseudocatenulatum. RNAcentral describes it as "bacterial SSU rRNA". It matches the Rfam family "Bacterial small subunit ribosomal RNA", at positions 56 to 358 of the family's 1533-position model. Lineage: Bacteria; Bacillati; Actinomycetota; Actinomycetes; Bifidobacteriales; Bifidobacteriaceae. The record is from RNAcentral.